Molecule: ribosomal RNA, 408 nt
Filed under: uncultured bacterium
Lineage: Bacteria
Description: partial 16S ribosomal RNA
Rfam family: Bacterial small subunit ribosomal RNA
Source: RNAcentral
GACGAACGCUGGCGGCGUGCUUAACACAUGCAAGUCGAACGAAGUGGCGAACGGGUGAGUAAUACGUGGGUAACCUGCCCUCCUGUUUGGGAUAAGCCUUGGAAACGGGGUCUAAUACCGAAUCAAGGGGGAUGGGCUCGCGGCCUAUCAGCUUGUGGGUGGGGUGAUGGCCUAACAAGGCGGUGACGGGUAGCCGGCCUGAGGGGGUGACCGGCCGCAUUGGGAGUAAGGUACGGCCCGGACUGCGACAGUGGGCAGCAGUGGGGGAUAGUGGACAAUGGGCGAAAGCCUGGUGCAGCGAGGGCGGGUGGGGGAUGAAGGCUGUCGGGUUGUAAACCUCUUGCGAUGGCGAACGGGUAGGUGGAGAAGAAGCGCCGGCUAACUACGUGCCAGCAGCCGCGGUAAUUC